This 997-nucleotide ribosomal RNA is filed under the name Merimna atrata. RNAcentral describes it as "SSU rRNA". It matches the Rfam family "Eukaryotic small subunit ribosomal RNA", at positions 67 to 1007 of the family's 1831-position model. Lineage: Eukaryota; Metazoa; Arthropoda; Insecta; Coleoptera; Buprestidae. The record is from RNAcentral.
AGCCGAAUUAAGGUGAACCGCGAAAGGCUCAUUAAAUCAGUUAUGGUUCCUUAGAUCGUACCACAUUUACUUGGAUAACUGUGGUAAUUCUAGAGCUAAUACAUGCAAACAGAGCUCCGACCGGAGACGGAAGGAGCGCUUUUAUUAGAUCAAAACCAAUCGGCGUCGGGUUCGCUCGUCGUCGUACCCACUGGUGAAUCUGAAUAACUUUCUGCUGAUCGCAUGGUCUCGCACCGGCGACGCAUCUUUCAAAUGUCUGCCUUAUCAACUGUCGAUGGUAGGUUCUGCGCCUACCAUGGUUGUAACGGGUAACGGGGAAUCAGGGUUCGAUUCCGGAGAGGGAGCCUGAGAAACGGCUACCACAUCCAAGGAAGGCAGCAGGCGCGCAAAUUACCCACUCCCGGCACGGGGAGGUAGUGACGAAAAAUAACGAUACGGGACUCAUCCGAGGCCCCGUAAUCGGAAUGAGUACAAUCUAAACCCUUUAACGAGGAUCAAUUGGAGGGCAAGUCUGGUGCCAGCAGCCGCGGUAAUUCCAAUUCCAAUAAAGCAUUUGAAAGUUGUUGCUUCAUUGAAGCUCAAAGAAAAAUCUGUGUCCCAAGGCGACGGUUCAUCGCACGCGGUGUUUAACUGGCGUGUCCGCGGGACGUCCUGCCGGUGGGCUUUACCCGCAAGGGUGGCCCAACUCAAUCCCACCGCGGUGCUCUUCACUGAGUGUCGAGGUGGGCCGGCACGUUUACUUUGAACAAAUUAGAGUGCUUAAAGCAGGCUAAAACUUCGCCUGAAUACCGUGUGCAUGGAAUAAUGGAAUAGGACCUCGGUUCUAUUUUGUUGGUUUUCGGAACCCCGAGGUAAUGAUUAAUAGGAACGGAUGGGGGCAUUCGUAUUGCGACGUUAGAGGUGAAAUUCUUGGAUCGUCGCAAGACGAACAGAAGCGAAAGCAUUUGCCAAAAACGUUUUCAUUGAUCAAGAACGAAAGUUAGAGUUUCGAAGGCGA